GAACGGGUGAGUAACACGUGGGUAACCUGCCCUGAUGAUUGGGACAACCCGAGGAAACUCGGGYUAAUACCGGAUGUGCCCUCGGGCCGUAAGGCCUCUGGGGAAAGGAAUGCUUMGGCCUCCGCAUUGGGAUGGGCCCGCGGCCCAUUAGCUUGUUGGUGAGGUAACGGCUCACCAAGGCAACGAUGGGUAGCUGGUCUGAGAGGACGAUCAGCCACACUGGGACUGAGACACGGCCCAGACUCCUACGGGAGGCAGCAGUGGGGAAUCUUGCGCAAUGCGCGAAAGCGUGACGCAGCAACGCCGCGUGGGGGAAGAAGGCCUUCGGGUUGUAAACCCCUUUCAGUUGGGACGAAGCUUCGACGGUGAAUAGCCGCCUGGAAAGACGUACCUCAGAAGAAGCCCCG
Molecule: ribosomal RNA, 407 nt
Filed under: bacterium Ellin7501
Lineage: Bacteria
Description: bacterial SSU rRNA
Rfam family: Bacterial small subunit ribosomal RNA
Source: RNAcentral